Small nucleolar RNA from Impatiens glandulifera, 98 nucleotides. RefSeq annotates it as small nucleolar RNA snR60/Z15/Z230/Z193/J17. The record is from RefSeq and is a predicted model, not a curated record. The transcript has a single exon. Lineage: Eukaryota; Viridiplantae; Streptophyta; Magnoliopsida; Ericales; Balsaminaceae.
AUGGGUCAAAUGAUGAUUGUAAAUGCAUAGUUCAGAUGAAAAAAUCUUUAUGAUUAAUUUAAUCUCAAAUAGUCUUUCGCUCCUAUCUGAUGACCCAU